Molecule: small RNA, 172 nt
Filed under: Chrysemys picta bellii (western painted turtle)
Lineage: Eukaryota; Metazoa; Chordata; Testudines; Emydidae
Description: TUC338 (ENSCPBG00000024109.1)
Source: RNAcentral
UUUAAAGUUGCUGAAAAGUGAAGUUCUUUAUUUAUCCACAGAUCAUGCACAUGCAAUGCCAUCUUCCCUACACUGUCGGCUAACAUUUCUCAGACAUCCACUGGAGAGAUUAUCAUUUCUGUAUGAGUGAGAGGGUAGUUCAGUCUUCAUACUCAUUCAACCCUUGCCAGAG